Molecule: ribosomal RNA, 459 nt
Filed under: Choricystis sp. ACT 1009
Lineage: Eukaryota; Viridiplantae; Chlorophyta; Trebouxiophyceae
Description: SSU rRNA
Rfam family: Eukaryotic small subunit ribosomal RNA
Source: RNAcentral
UACCAUACCGGGGUUUUUCAACUCUGGUAAUUGGAAUGAGUACAAUCUAAAUCCCUUAACGAGGAUCAAUUGGAGGGCAAGUCUGGUGCCAGCAGCCGCGGUAAUUCCAGCUCCAAUAGCGUAUAUUUAAGUUGUUGCAGUUAAAAAGCUCGUAGUUGGAUUUCGGGCGGGGCCUGCCGGUCCGCCUUUGGUGUGCACUGGCAGGGUCCGCCUUGCUGUCGGGGACGGGUUCCUGGGCUUUACUGUCUGGGACUCGGAGUCGACGUGGUUACUUUGAGUAAAUUAGAGUGUUCAAAGCAGGCUUACGCUCUGAAUACAUUAGCAUGGAAUAACGCGAUAGGACUCUGGCCUAUCUUGUUGGUCUGUGGGACCGGAGUAAUGAUUAAGAGGGACAGUCGGGGGCAUUCGUAUUUCAUUGUCAGAGGUGAAAUUCUUGGAUUUAUGAAAGACGAACUACUG